CAGAGCAUAGCUAAGACAGUAAAGCAUCUCUUUUACACUGAGAAGUCGCCCGUGCAAAUCGGACUGCCCUGA
This 72-nucleotide transfer RNA is filed under the name Pegasus volitans (longtail seamoth). Its description in RNAcentral is "tRNA-Val". It matches the Rfam family "tRNA". Rfam says of the family: Transfer RNA (tRNA) molecules are approximately 80 nucleotides in length. Their secondary structure includes four short double-helical elements and three loops (D, anti-codon, and T loops). Lineage: Eukaryota; Metazoa; Chordata; Actinopteri; Syngnathiformes; Pegasidae. The record is from RNAcentral. RNAcentral also lists the same sequence under 1 other name.